RNAcentral lists this transfer RNA (95 nucleotides) under Thermobaculum terrenum ATCC BAA-798. Its description in RNAcentral is "Selenocysteine transfer RNA". It matches the Rfam family "Selenocysteine transfer RNA". Lineage: Bacteria; Bacillati; Chloroflexota; Chloroflexia; Thermobaculales (SeqCode); Thermobaculaceae (SeqCode). The record is from Rfam by way of RNAcentral.
GGGAGCGGAAGGGUCCCGGUGGGUUCCGCGGUCUUCAAAACCGUUGGGAGGCUAGCACUGCUGGUCUCCGGUGGGUUCGACUCCCACGCGCUCCC